RNAcentral lists this ribosomal RNA (492 nucleotides) under uncultured bacterium. RNAcentral's name for it is "partial 16S ribosomal RNA". It matches the Rfam family "Bacterial small subunit ribosomal RNA", at positions 29 to 507 of the family's 1533-position model. The record is from RNAcentral.
AGUGAACGCUGGCGGUAGGCCUAACACAUGCAAGUCGAACGGCAGCACAGUAAGAGCUUGCUCUUACGGGUGGCGAGUGGCGGACGGGUGAGGAAUACAUCGGAAUCUACUUUUUCGUGGGGGAUAACGUAGGGAAACUUACGCUAAUACCGCAUACGACCUACGGGUGAAAGCAGGGGAUCUUCGGACCUUGCGCGAUUGAAUGAGCCGAUGUCGGAUUAGCUAGUUGGCGGGGUAAAGGCCCACCAAGGCGACGAUCCGUAGCUGGACUGAGAGGAUGAUCAGCCACCCGGGAACUGGGACACGGUCCAGACUCCUACGGGAGGCAGCAGUGGGGAAUGUUGGGCAAUGGGCGCAAGCCUGAUCCAGCCAUACCGCGUGGGUGAAGAAGGCCUUCGGGUUGUAAAGCCCUUUUGUUGGGAAAGAAAAGCAGCAGGUUAAUACCCCGCUGUUCUGACGGUACCCAAAGAAUAAGCACCGGCUAACUUCGUG